UAAUGUUUUGGUUCUUGGUCACCACAACAUGAGGAAUGUAUUGAAGGGUCUCAGCAUUUGGAAGGCUGAGAACCACUAGUAGAGAAAGGACAGUUAGACCAGUUCCAGGAGCCAGACAAGAGGGGAGGGGAAGAGAGGAUAGUGACUUUUAGGCAACAGAAACUGCUAAGUGGGGUGCAAACAGAGUAGCACAAAGGCUCCUCGGGCUAGAAGCACAGCAGGAUCCCGAAUAGGAGGGGCCAUCCUAGAGGCCAUUUUCUUAUAGCUGAGAAGUGGGAAAAGAGGGGAUGUGCCUGCUGGUCCCUCCUGCCUAACAGGAGUUAAAUUCAUCGGGAGUAAACUGGAAAUUAGAAAGAUUUAACAAAACUAACUGAUGGUCUUUUGUAGAAGGAUACCGUUGUGGGGGCUGAGGAUGUAGCUCUAGUGUGAGGUUUGGUCUGCUGCUAUGUAUUGUAAUGCUGAACACUGGCCCCCACCAAGCUCAGUUGCCUCAAGGAUCAGAGAAUCUUCCUGCUGACUCAGGUGACACUGUGUGACCUGCCCCCCAAGUUAUCCCUGAUUGGUACCCUGGCUGUAUCAGAGCAGAGUAAGCAGAAGAUGGAGAACUCGGCUCCUCCAGCACCACGCCUGCCUAGAUGCUGCCUGGAUGCUGCCUGGAUGCUGCCCUGCUCCCGCCUUGAUGAUAAUGGACUGACCCUCUGAACCUGGCAGGUGUGAAACCCAGUCUGUGAACAACCCUUGAGGUCCUCAUCUUGGCUUUGCUGGCAUCCAGCUCUUGCAGCUGCUCAUCCAGUUCCAUGAACAUCUCACGCUCCAGAUCCUCCCGACCUAACUAAGCGCUCUGCCCCCUCUCCAGAUGAGUCAUCUUCAAAGACUGUGAUCCAUAUUGGCUGUUCCUGAAAAACUCUUUGGCUGAGUGCUUUCCACAUAGCUCAGGUUGGUCUCAAAGUCAUGGCUAUCCUCCUGCCUCAGAUCCUCCAGUGACUGGAUUACAGGCAUGUGCCACAUGGCACAACUUGGCCUGUUGUUUUGUUUUGUUUUGUUUUUGGUACUGGGGAUUGAACCCAGACCUUUUUUGCACAUGCUAGCCAAGCAAUCUAUUCUUUUCUUUUUUAUGGAUGUGUGUGGUUACCUACGUAAGGAUGUGUGUGCAGGAGCGACAGAGGUCAGAAGAGAGCACCACAUCCCCUGGAACUGGAGUUACAGGCAGAUGCAAGCUGCCAUCUUGGUGCUGGAAAUAAAUAUGCAACUUCUAUAAGAGCAAAGAGAAAAGGAAACAGAAGUGGGGGCUGAUACAGAACUCCAACUCCUAUUAAUGGAUGCAAAGUACCCAGGAUGUCAUAAAAUGAGCCCAGUCUUCGGCCAUAAACAAAAGGCAGUCUUGUGUGUUGGCUGCUGCAUUGCCCUGUCAGCCUACAGAAGGAAAAGGAAGGCUGGCCGUUCCGCAGGACACAGCACUAAAAGCACCCUGGUUCAAGAUGAGUGGGAAGCCAUCCCAGUAAACACAUCAUGAAUUUAAAACAAAACAGCAUUACUUCAAAUGAGAUAAUUUUUAAAUAUAUAUUUUGAUGAAUUUGA
Molecule: small RNA, 1578 nt
Filed under: Rattus norvegicus (Norway rat)
Lineage: Eukaryota; Metazoa; Chordata; Mammalia; Rodentia; Muridae
Description: uncharacterized LOC102547042
Source: RNAcentral